Long non-coding RNA from Pseudophryne corroboree (corroboree frog), 864 nucleotides. RefSeq lists it as uncharacterized. The transcript is spliced from 6 exons. Lineage: Eukaryota; Metazoa; Chordata; Amphibia; Anura; Myobatrachidae. The record is from RefSeq and is a predicted model, not a curated record.
UCAUUUGGCAAAGUUCUGGCAAAGAGAUUUGCAGAGUGUCGGGUGACCGGCAAAGAGAUCUGCAAAGUGUCAGUUGAAGAUGACGGGAGGGGUCUCAGAGUAAUUAGUGACUGGAGAAUAGCAUGCAGGAGGUUCUGUGGCUGAUUAAACCAGGUGAAAUGCAGACUUGUGGUCAACCAACCACAGAAACUGUAUAAUUCCUGCUGACGUUUCCAGUUUCCAUGCAGGAAUACAGGUAGGAGGAGGUGAGUCCUACAUAGCAGAGUAUGAUGGAGAGGGGUAAGGAAGACAGAGUGCAGUACAGCCAGCUGAAAGGCAAGACAAGAUGGAGAAAGAAGAAAAGGGAAUACAGAUCAUCUGGCAAAGAGAUUUGCAGAGUGUCGGGUGACCGGCAAAGAGAUCUGCAAAGUGUCAGUUGAAGACGACGGGAGGGGUUACGGAGGUAGCAACGACUGGAGUAUAACAUGCAGGAGAUCAUCAUUUGGUAAAGUUCUAGCAAAGAGAUUUGCAGAGUGUCGGGUGACCGGCAAAGAGAUCUGCAAAGUGUCAGUUGAAGACGACGGGAAGGAUCGCAGAGUAAUUAGUGACUGGAGAAUAGCAUGCAGGAGUGGGUGAUCCCUGAAUAGCUGCCCUGGGAGGAGAGCUGCGGACACAUGCUCCAAAUGUUGGGACAUAUGCAUUACCUAUUAGGAGAUGCAGUAAAGCUGCCGGAUGUCAGUUUUACGGCAGUCAGAAUACUGACACUGGGAUCCCGACACUCUUCAGAAUCCCGACGUUGGAACCCCGAAAAGGCAAGGAUACCGAUGCCCGUAUCCCCAUGAUCAUAGGUCUGGUGCUGGGCAACGGGGGAUAGGUUUAGGCAUC